AUCAAAAGUACAUCAGGGUAGGUGGGAUACUAUAACAACAUUGAGCACAUUGUUAUACUAUUCCACCCACCUUAAUGGGGAU
This 82-nucleotide microRNA precursor is filed under the name Pelobates cultripes (western spadefoot toad). The record is from RNAcentral. Lineage: Eukaryota; Metazoa; Chordata; Amphibia; Anura; Pelobatidae.